RNAcentral lists this ribosomal RNA (245 nucleotides) under Alexandrium tamarense. RNAcentral describes it as "partial Bacterial small subunit ribosomal RNA". It matches the Rfam family "Bacterial small subunit ribosomal RNA", at positions 682 to 924 of the family's 1533-position model. The record is from RNAcentral. Lineage: Eukaryota; Dinophyceae; Gonyaulacales; Pyrocystaceae.
UAAAAUCCAGUAAUUUUGUGAGGAACACCAAAUGCGAAGGCAACUAUCUGGAAUAUUACUGACGCUGGAAGACGAAGGCAUAGGUAGCAAAUGGGAUUAGAGACCCCAGUAGUCUAUGCAGUAAACGAUGAGUGCUAAACGUACGGUAAUUAAAGAUUAUUGUGUGUUACAGCUAACGCAUUAAGCACUCCGCCUGGGGAGUACGGUCGCAAGACUAAAACUCAAAGGAAUUGACGGGGGCCCGC